AUGGAAUGUUCUUUGCCGUUUGGAGGAAAUGUUGUUGUCUUUGGUGGUGAUUUCAGGCAGGUCCUACUUGUUGUGACACAUGGUACAAGAGCACAUGAUGAUCCUUGGUUCUCAGAAUACCUAGUAAGGAUAGGCAAUGGAACUGAAGAGACAAUUGGCGCCGAUUAUGUCCGUCUCCCUAACGACAUUGUCAUUGGAUAUACCGAGGAUGAAAAAGCUAUUAACAUGCUCAUCGAAGAUGUCUUCCCAUCUUUGCAGGCCAAUGCUAGAUCGAGAGAGUACAUGAGUGCAUGUGCUAUUCUUUCGACCAAGAACGAUCAUGUCGAUGACCUGAAUGACAAGAUGAUCUCCAGGUUUCCAGGCGAAGAAAAAUUAAAGGUCAACUGUCCGGUCAUUCUACUCUGGAACCUCGACCCUCAUAAUGGUCUAUGCAAUGGAACACGGCUUAUGAUCAGAGCCUUUCAGGAUAAUGCAAUCGAUGCGGAGAUUGUUGGUGGUCAGCAUGCUGGAAAGAGGGUGUUUAUACCUAGGAUCCCUAUGUCGCCCUCAGAGGACAUCUCACUUCCUUUCAAACUUAAGAGAAAACAGUUCCCCAUCCGGCUGAGUUUUGCCAUGACAAUUAACAAGGCACAGGGUCAGACCAUCCCAAAUGUCGGCAUUUACCUUCCCGAGCCAGUAUUCUCACAUGGGCAGCUAUAUGUUGGAUUGUCAAGAGGAGUGUCGAGAGAGACGACACGGAUUUUGGCCAAGCCAAACAAGGAUGUUGAUAAAUCCGAGAAAAGCACCAAGAACAUUGUCUACAGAGAUGUUUUGGAGAUAUGA
Molecule: ribosomal RNA, 822 nt
Filed under: Triticum aestivum (bread wheat)
Lineage: Eukaryota; Viridiplantae; Streptophyta; Magnoliopsida; Poales; Poaceae
Description: partial small subunit ribosomal RNA
Source: RNAcentral